GCCCAGGCUCAGAGCACCCACGUGGAUAUUAAUGGACCUUAUUAACUUGCAGGUAGAAGAACUGCUGCUGCUUCACUUGCCAAGGGAAGAAUGUGAGAAGCAGGUGCAGACUUUGCUAACGCAAUGUGCCUGGCCACCUGUUGAAUCCACAGAGGGGACAGAAGAGCAUUCUGCAGCUAUAGUCCUGGGAAUGGAGAGCAGCCGCCUGAGACAGUGCAGCCAGUUGCACUUUCCAGCUGUAAACAUCCCUGCAGAUCAUGGGCCAAGGAGAUGCAAGAAAUGAAAUUCAUCUUGCAUGCCAGGAGAGGAAUACUGUGCGAGCAACCUGACUGGCCAGCUGAUGACACAUCCCAAGAUACGUGAAGAGUUGAGGACCAUAGCAGACAACAGGGAUUCCUCUUUAUCAGGAGGUAAGGAAUAUACAGUACCUGUUUAUAGCAUCCCAGUGCAAAUCAAAGACUUUGUUUUUUCUUUCGGAGCCUAUGUUAUAUGUCAAG
Long non-coding RNA from Mauremys reevesii (Reeves's turtle), 497 nucleotides. RefSeq lists it as uncharacterized. The transcript is spliced from 3 exons. The record is from RefSeq and is a predicted model, not a curated record. NCBI's taxonomy places the organism in Eukaryota, Metazoa, Chordata, Testudines, Geoemydidae.